AAACUUGUUGCAGUUAAAAAGCUCGUAGUUGAAUUUCUGCUGCAUCGUGGUUCUUCGCUAUGUCGAGUGGGCCUCGUUGUGGCUUAGUUGGGGCAUGUUUUCAUGACUCGACGUUUACUUUGAGAAAAUUAGAGUGCUUCAAGCAGGCUUUUGCCUUGAAUACUUUAGCAUGGAAUAAUGGAGUAGGACUUUGGUUCUAUUUUGUUGGUUUUAGGAGCCGGAGUAAUGGUUAAUAGGAACAGUUGGGGGCAUUCGUAUUUGACUGUCAGAGGUGAAAUUCUUAGAUUUGUUAAAGACAAACUACUGCGAAAG
This 312-nucleotide ribosomal RNA is filed under the name Theileria equi. Its description in RNAcentral is "SSU rRNA". It matches the Rfam family "Eukaryotic small subunit ribosomal RNA", at positions 606 to 951 of the family's 1831-position model. The record is from RNAcentral. Lineage: Eukaryota; Apicomplexa; Aconoidasida; Piroplasmida; Theileriidae.